Molecule: long non-coding RNA, 1006 nt
Filed under: Salmo trutta (river trout)
Lineage: Eukaryota; Metazoa; Chordata; Actinopteri; Salmoniformes; Salmonidae
Description: lncRNA (ENSSTUG00000047141.1)
Source: RNAcentral
GGGUCCCAGGAGGUAUAGGGGCAGGCCUAGGAGCUGGAGGUCUUGGAGGAACAGGAGGGGUACCAGCAGGAGGAGCUGGGGCUGGAGGUGUCCCCGGAGGUGCAGGAGCAGGCCUAGGAGCAGGAGGACUUGGAGGAGGAUAUGGAGGAGCAGGAGGGGCUGGGGCUGGAGGUACCUCACCGUAGUUAAUGGGCUAUAACUAUUAAAAUCAAUUCUGAUAUCUUUUAUUUAUUAACUCAAGUGUAUUCACCAGGAUAUAACCCUGCUGCGGCCAAAGCUGCUAAAUAUGGUAAGAAACAUCACUCUGAACGGCAACAUAAACUUUGGUGCAUUGGUUGAAUUUAUGGUAAACAUUUUGUCCAUUAUUGCUUUCUGACCCUCCACCAUAGGAGUUCCCGGAGGUGCAGGAGCAGGCCUAGGAGCUGGGGGAGCAGGGGGAGUACCAGGAGGAGGAGCAGGGGGUGUACCAGGAGGAGGAGCAGGAGGAUUACCAGGAGGAGGAGCAGGGGGUGUACCUGGGGCUGGAGGAUAUUAUCCCGCUGCAGCCAAAGCUGCUAAAUAUGGAGUUCCAGGAGGCCUAGGAACAGGCUUAGGAGCAGGAGGACUUGGAGGAGUACAGAGAGGAGUACCUGGAGGAGGAGCAGGGGGUGUACCAGGAGGAGGAGCAGGGGGUGUACCUGGGGCUGGAGGAUAUUAUCCCGCUGCAGCCAAAGCUGCUAAAUAUGGUAAGAAAAAUGUACAUUGGUUGAAUUCAUGGUGAAAUUUCUGUACAUUUUGGUACAUUAUCAAAUUUCUGUACAUUACCAUGUGUCAACUCAUGACUCGCCCUCUCCUGUGUUAUAGGUCAGGGGGCUGCUGGUGGGCCAGGGGGUGGAUAUGGUGGCGUGCCUGCUGGAGGAUAUCCCAGGCCUGGGGGUACGUACACCAAAGGGGAUGCCCAUGUGGGAUUGAAGGGUCUGGGGGAGGGGUGUAAGUAAGGGCAGUGUUCACACAUACAAUAUGUAUU